RNAcentral lists this small RNA (1070 nucleotides) under Rattus norvegicus (Norway rat). Its description in RNAcentral is "uncharacterized LOC102550505". The record is from RNAcentral. Lineage: Eukaryota; Metazoa; Chordata; Mammalia; Rodentia; Muridae.
ACCCCCAACUCUACCCGUCCCCAAUGUUGUCCCGGUCAUAAUGGUGACCACCAUCAUUCUGAGUCCCACAUCUCCUAGGGCGAGGCAGUUCUAAUGAUGGCAGGUGGACGAUGGCAGAGAUGGCAGAGACUCAGGGUCACUUCUGACAAGGUUGCUAAAAAGGGUAGCCUGGUACUGAGAGGCUAGGACAGUCAAGUCACACAAGGAGGGCCCAGGAAGGUCUCUCUAGAGGCCCCUCCAUUUGGGACUCCAAAAGAAAAAAGUGCCUUCUGGUGGUAGCAGCAGCUAAGGAUGGUGCUGGGGCCCUCUGGAAAGACACCCACUGGGGGAUCAUCCUGGAACUGAUGCCAGCAGAGCAGAGUUGCAAACUGAGUUGCAAGCCCUUCCUGACCCGUGGUAGAGCAGCAGCAUCCUGUAGGCAUCCUGAAUCUAGUUCAUCACUACAGAGAGGCUCAUGACCGUUCUUGCCAGGCAUCAGGAGCACAGCGCUCCACAAAGCUGCAGCAGAGCAAAGAGACCUGAGAGAGAUCCAUGGAAAGGCUCCUGUCCCCACAAGGGUUCUGAGUCAAGGCAACACUCACUACGGACUCUCCUUCAGAAUGUGGUGAGGACAGACAGGGACAGGGAGGUUACAGAGCUGGCUGUGGGUGCUCGGUCACUGCUUGAGGACAGUGGUCUGAAGGGUUCUGUCUGGAGAGGUCCACGCCAGGUCUGUGCAGUCCGAGGGUUUCGGAAAGGAGGGACCUCCUAGCUUCCCAGCCAGACUCCUUGUGUGGCUUAGGCUGCCCUCUGCUGGAAGUUCUGGGAAAUGCAAGAACGCUGAAGCUGGGCCGGCUUCUGGUGAUUUGCUUAGGUGACUCAGGGGCCAGGGAGUCGGAUACUCCUGAGCUGGAGAACUGAGUUAAGUCCAGCCUCAGAGGACCAUGCGGAGGCCAGGCACCCAGGGCGGGGCAGGGCAGGACAGGACAGGAUAGGACGAGAGUUGCCUACCUACCACUGAAGUGGAGCCGGACUGCUACAGAAAAAUAAAAUAAUAAAAUAAAAUAAAAUGAAAUAUAAAAGUCUACAAA